UCCAGUUAAUUUGUUUUCUAUAGUGAGGUCUUUUGGUCAGAAUGCAGGUAGCUGGUUGAACUGGCUUGGAGUUUUUCUGUCAUGAGAUUCACUGGGCUGCAGUUAGAAUUUAGGAAUACGUUGGUAUUGGUUAUGACAUUGGACUGUGUGGAAUUGAAGUGAAAUUAGGAUAUGUUGUGUAUGUAAUAGUUAUGUAUUAAUUGUGUAAAAUGUGGAUUGUGUUAUGGAAUAAGAUUGAAUUAAUUAUUUUAUGUGGAAAUUAUGAAUGUGUAUGAAUCAUAUUGGAAAAUGUUUGAAUGUAUUUGGGAGGUUAAUUUAAAUGUGAAAAAAAUGGUUUUGAAGAUUGGAUGUGAAAGU
RNAcentral lists this long non-coding RNA (357 nucleotides) under Lathyrus oleraceus (garden pea). RNAcentral describes it as "Pisum sativum (pea) long non-coding RNA (PSAT_LNC036848)". The record is from RNAcentral. Lineage: Eukaryota; Viridiplantae; Streptophyta; Magnoliopsida; Fabales; Fabaceae.